GACGAACGCUGGCGGCGUGCUUAACACAUGCAAGUCGAACGGAAAGGCCCUGCUUUUGUGGGGUGCUCGAGUGGCGAACGGGUGAGUAACACGUGAGUAACCUGCCCUUGACUUUGGGAUAACUUCAGGAAACUGGGGCUAAUACCGGAUAGGAGCUCCUGCUGCAUGGUGGGGGUUGGAAAGUUUCGGCGGUUGGGGAUGGACUCGCGGCUUAUCAGCUUGUUGGUGGGGUAGUGGCUUACCAAGGCUUUGACGGGUAGCCGGCCUGAGAGGGUGACCGGCCACAUUGGGACUGAGAUACGGCCCAGACUCCUACGGGAGGCAGCAGUGGGGAAUAUUGCACAAUGGGCGGAAGCCUGAUGCAGCAACGCCGCGUGCGGGAUAACGGCCUUCGGGUUGUAAACCGCUUUCGCCUGUGACGAAGCGUGAAUGACGGUAAUGGGUAAAGAAGCACCGGCUAACUACGUG
RNAcentral lists this ribosomal RNA (468 nucleotides) under uncultured bacterium. Its description in RNAcentral is "partial 16S ribosomal RNA". It matches the Rfam family "Bacterial small subunit ribosomal RNA", at positions 28 to 507 of the family's 1533-position model. The record is from RNAcentral.